This is a non-coding RNA of Onthophagus taurus, 747 nucleotides long. The record is from RefSeq and is a predicted model, not a curated record. Lineage: Eukaryota; Metazoa; Arthropoda; Insecta; Coleoptera; Scarabaeidae.
UUAUUUUAAUCGCGAGGGUUAUAAAAAUUAAAGAGUUCGAUAAAAGGAAAUUAAGUUCACUUAACUUGUUUCCGGAGGCGUGACAUGUCAGUUAAAAAUGGUUGGUUGACCUUGGUCUUGCGGGAAGGAUGUUCUUCGGUGUUAGAAGUUUAGGAUUCUCGGGAACAGGAUGGAACAUUGGACUCGAUCUCAGGUUAAAUUGACGUAGAUUCGACAACGCUUCGCUCUAGCCAAAAUUGAACUCUCUAGGUGUCAAAUUUGCGCGGCCUUAUAUACCCUUUUUGGACAAAGGCUUCUUGGAUAUCCGAAUUUGGUCGCCUCAGUUUGAAUCUGGGCUCUCUGAUUGGUUGAUAAAAUGGCGGGAAUUAUAAAUUACACAGAUAAUCGCGCUUUCGGGUGUCAAAUUCCUUCGAGGAAUUCGUAAUUUGAUGUUAAAGUUUGGAAAGAAAAAAAUGAAAUUUAGAUAUAUAAAAUGAUUCAGAAAUAGAUGAAAUUGCGGCCUAAGGGCUAAAUCGACACGAUCUAUCGAUCUCGCAUGGUUUUAGAAUCGAAAAUCGUCUGAAAAGUCGCCAAAAUCAAUACCUGUCAAAAUGUAAAUGUCAAAAUUUGAAGGUCAUAGACUUCAAUGAAUUAUCCUUUUCUUGCACAUCGUAAUAAUUUUUCUUAAAACUAAACGAAAAUCAUAACAAAACUAACUACUUAUAGUCUAAUCCAAAAUUGUAAAGUUCUUAAAUUUAAUUAGGUUUU